This 41547-nucleotide long non-coding RNA is filed under the name Malus domestica (apple). RNAcentral describes it as "long non-coding RNA (MDOM_LNC006629)". The record is from RNAcentral. Lineage: Eukaryota; Viridiplantae; Streptophyta; Magnoliopsida; Rosales; Rosaceae.
CCGAAUCACUAACCAAAACCUCUACCCAAACUCCUCUCCCUCAGUUUCCAAAAAACAAAAAAAGAAAAGCCUCCUCUGUCUCCCCGACCCUGCGAGACCCGAGCGACCCUUCAUUCUGCCACCGUGCUGCGCCUAGCCACCACCCUCUUGACCCGAUCCACCAUCUUCCUCAGGGCCCGAUGCUUCUCUAACGACGUCGCUGCGACUGCCCCAGCCGAUUCGACUUUCAGUGACGCCUGGAAGAAAGUGGUGCCUCACAUAGAUCACACAAUGACCCCAUUGACCUUUAUGAAGCCUCGGCCUGCAACCCCGUCGUCGAUCCCCACUAAGCUCACUGUCAACUUUGUGCUCCCUUAUGCGGCCGAACUUUUGGCUAAAGAGGUCAGUUUUCGGAGAGAUUUGUUGUGGGUUUUUUUUUGCAAUUUUUUUAUCUGUGGUUUGAUUUGAGAUUUAUGUGAUACGGGACUUGUAUGCUUUAGUGUCGGUUUAUCUGGGUUUGGUGCAAAUUCUGGUUUUCAGGUCGAUUUUGUUGUCCCUAGUUUGAAUUGGGUAUACUGUUGUUUUGAGUAGGUUUGUAUUGGUUUGGAGCUAAUUCGAUUCACGCUUUGAUUUUUCUGUGACCCUAUAUGGUUUUUGGUUUUCAAUUGUUAAUUUACUGGGGCUGGAGCUAGUUUUGAAUUCUUGAUUGGAGCAAUUAUGAUGUAUAAGUUCUACGAUAUAUAAUAUAUUAUAGGAUGUAAUCAUUUCAUUUAAUAGGUCUUCAUAUCUUCACAGAGAUGCAAUGUUACUUACAAAAGAUGCUGCCGCAUUAAUAUUUUUGUGCUGUUUCUUGUAUAGGACUCUGUGUUUUGCGUUUCUUUGUAAAAGUCCAAUUUUAAGAAUAAGAGUUAACUUUUUGGUUCUUGUUUCAGUAUUUUGUUUGAAUGUCAAACUUCCAUCUAAGUCAUGGUGAUUAUUCUUGUUACAUAAAUUGUAUUUGCUAGAUUGAUUUUAAGCAUUUCACUGUUUUGGAUUUUGAAUGGAUGCAUUAUAGCAUGUUCAAUCAACGGUACCAUGUUUUCAGUUUGAUCUCUAUUUGUUACUUUUUCUAUUGACAGUGUUGGAAAAAAAAAAUGUAACUUUGAAUCCAUAGUGUUUGAUUUGCGUGGCCCAUGGAAGAUUUAGUCCUGCACUUAUUGCUUGGAUUUCAUAUUUUUCAAACAUUUACAGUACUCAUAUCCCAUUUCCUUAUUUUAUUUCAUGCUAACUUUUGCAACUGAUUAUAGUGGUGCAAUAUACACCUAGUUUUCAUCUGUUGUUGCUGUAGGCUGAACUUCAUCUCAGUUUAGUGUAUGUAAGGAUGCUUUAUGUGUGUCACAUUUUUCUUUCUUAUGAGUCAUAUGCUAUACUGUUUUAAAGUAUAUAAUUCAAAUUCACAUGUGAACAGAUGUGGAAUUAAGUUCCUUUUAAAAAGUUUGUGGAGUUCUCAAUCCAAUGAGAAACAAAUACCGCUUGUAAUGAAAACUAAAAUUCCAACUUGUGAUGCAAAAGUGUAGUGUUAAGUCCAUUUCCUCUCCUUUAUCAAGCUUUGUGACUCCUUUUAGUCUUUUGAUUGGCAAAUGGGUAUGGAAAUCAGACAUGAGUAACAUAGCUGAGUGAGUUAGAGCAUGGUUGCAUGCCAAAAAAACAUGUCAUGGUCCUGUUGGCAGUUGAACUGUUAGUUUUCUACAUAUAUGAUUUGUGUAAUGCAUUGCUCAUGUGCAUAAGCAAGGUAAGUACAACUUGAAAUAUUAUACAUGUCUUAGUUUUAUUUGUCCCAUUUGGAGCGAACUUUGGAUUUAUCCCGGUAAAGCGAAAUGAAUCUUUCUUUUUCAUAAGUAAGAAAAGUUAUUGGUGGUGCAUUUUGAGAUCAACGUGCUCUUCCUUUUUUUAAUGUGUUAUCCUCAGUUUCAUAGUAGCCUUGCAUAUUUAGUGUUGGCCUCAGACAAUCAUUGAAAACCUUCUUUACUAUUCUUUUUUUCACUGCGUUUCUGACAUUGAUAAAGGGGACUGAAUCUUUUAGCUAACUUGCUUCUGACAGAUUAAAAGAAUGUGGAACUAAACACAAAGAUUAGUUGCCUGACUAAUUUUAAUCUCAGACAAAAUUAGUUUUUUUCCUUCAUUCAAUGUUACGACCCAAAGCUACUGUUUUCCAUCUUCUGUUAUCUUUCAAAACCAUAUUUUAAAAAAUGUGCUUGCUGCCUUUUCUUAGUACCAAAACUACUGUUUUGCCAGACAAAAAAACUAGUGUAUGUUGAAGAUUGAUGAGCAACAGAUGCCCCUUGCUUUGACAGAACUCGAUAAUGUAACAGUCGACUUUUUUUAGUGGGUGAAGGCCACCAUUCAGUUGCCAAACAUCAUGACUUUGUUGAGACUGAAACUUGAUAAUUUUAGCAUUAACAUUAUCUGUUGAUUGUGUGGCCAGUAAUCCAAAGAUGUAAAGGCAAGGAUCUGAAGUUUGUUUGUAUUUGAUUAUAUAUCCACAGAUUCCGAAACAGAAAUACGAAGAUGAUAUUGCAUUAAUGUCAUGUUUUUGCAAAGAAUUAGUAAGAGACUUCUAGUUGUGCCAUCUUUUUUUAUUGUGUGACGAAAGACGGAACUAUCAUUCGUUGUCUGAGCCAUGAACAGAAGGGAAGACAGAUUUCAUUGACAGAAUACCGAGCAAAUUGGGAUUCUUUCUGCCGUUAGAAAAGUAGAUAAAAUCACAAAGAGACUGAAGCAUCUGCAUUAGGGUUGGCAGGUAGAACCUUAUAAAUUGAAAGUUCGUAGCCGUGGUUCUCAUAUAAUUAUAAACCAUGCAAGAAUGGUGAAGGAUGUAAUGAGCCAUCUCUGUGUGGCUUAGAAGUUAGAGGUUUGGAUUAGGUAGACAAACUGAAACCUCAUUAGAGAAGUUAGAUCCUUAAGUCCAAUCAAAACUCAUUAAACUCAUUAUAGGUGCAAGUAAGCCUAUUAAACUGAUUAACAUUUCAUUUUUCUCCUAUGGUCUCCCCUUUUGAAGUCAUAAUUGGUGGUUUUUUUAAUCAAAUAAUUGGUCGUCUUCGUUUAUAGUUUUUCCCCCUUUUUUUGGUAUAGUUCUUUUGAAGCUAUUUUUAAUGAUUGAAAGGCUUCUUUUUUUUUCUUUUUUUUUUUCACUUGGUAUGAUAGAAUUUUAGUAUUAAAGUAUCUGUUUCCACAAUAUUGAUGCUACCCCAUUCGGAGAUAAUAUAGAUCACAACAUCUUUAUAUGUAUAUCCAUUUCUUGACGUUUCUUGGUAGUGAUUUAGGAUGCUUUCUAUAGGUUGGAAGGCCUCAAGUUUCCUAUUUUUGGUUGUAUGGCACUUUCUCUACAAUAAGCAUUAAACAUAGUGAGGGAGGAGAGGAUGGAUAUUGAAACUUGUGCCACAAACCUUCAAACCUUAAAAACGUUGAUGAAAUGAAAAUGUAGGAAUAUAGAUAUUACACCCAGUCUACUGUUAUGCGAGGAAAUUAAUGUUGCUCCCUGAUCAUUUAAUAACCAUGUGCACGCAUCUUGGACAAGUCAUUUAAUUUUUCUUGUGCCCCAAUAGCUUAUGCCAUCAUAUUUUUCUUUUCAUGUGUUCAUGCAUUGAUUGUUCAACAUUACCCAGCAUGUUGCAAUUAGGGAUCCAUCGCAUGUUUCCUUUUGGCAGGGGGACCUUGCCAUCUACCUAAUAUUGGUUGUGUUGCAUUUGUCUUCUUACCCAAUUAAAUUUUCGCUUUCUUUAGACUUACUCUAGAUCAAAAAGUGUUCUAUUAUCAUAAUUAAAGUGCUUGCUUUUUGUAAACCUUACGCUCUAGAACUAGCAAAGCAAUUAUCUAAUUAAAGACUUUCCAACGCCUAAUUCAAUUGUUUAGCUUGAGCAUAUGAUUGAUGGAAACAGGAUUUUAUUUCUUCAUAUUCUUAAUGUUUUUGCAUAGAUUACAGUUUUCCAAUAGAAAGUGGCUUAAAGUUUUCCAAGAAAUUAAGAGAAAAAUCAAAUCAUAUGACAUGGAUACGCUAACUGCCUUCCAUUAUUAACAACAUAAUCUUCACCUAAUUUUGCGAGAUUGGCCUUCCCCUCCCAGCUGCAUUCGCCACCUUCGCCACACUUGACUCCCCUUCACUUUCUCCUCUAAGGAACAACCGGAAAAGAUAACAGAAACACAUUAUGAUUUUACCCCUGAGAAACACAGAUAAAUAGCAAACAAAAUGUAAGCAGCAGCAGCAUACUUACCAGUUAGUUAUCCACUUCUCUGUCCUCCCGAAUAUCUGUUAUUAUAACAGAAGGCACGUGUUGAAUUUUGUAGAAAUCCUCUCCUCCUUCCCCAACCCUUGUACAGAAUCUCCGAAGCAUAAGUCUGAUUGUUAGUUCCUUGAGGGUGGUAACAUGCUCAAGCCCCUCAGGAACUGCCCUCAAUUCCAAGCAACUGUCAAUAGACAAUCUGCAGAGACUAGGCAUGCCUCCUUUCUCUAUGCUCCAACUCUUUAAUCCCCUCAACCCAUAAAGUGAAAGAAAUUCAAGAUUAGGAUAACCUUCUUCUGAGACAACUACUUGUGAAUCAUUCUCGUCCAAACUUACACAAUGAAGCCAAAGCAUUCUUAAGUUUGGGAUCUUCUCAAGUAUUUUGAGACUCUCCAACGGUAGAUUAGUAUCCCACAGCGACAUCUUAGUGAGGUUUUGAUAGUACUGGAGACCUUCCAAUGAUUUAUCUCUCAUUCUCCCUGCCAACUCAAGGUUGUAUAUAUGAGGACAACUCAAUACCAUAUUCAUUGGCAUAACUUCAUCCCCCACUGAUAGAGAUAGAGAUCGAAUAUGGUUAAAUGUGAUGCCAGUAGAUUUCAACAUUUCCUCCAUAUUUUUCACCCCACCUGUUAUGAUGAACAGUUUUCUGAGAUUGGUCAAUUCAGCAAGAUGAUUCAAAUCACAAUCAGCACCUGCAACAUUGACUAAACUCUGCAAAUUCCCAAGAGUAGCCAACUUCAACUUCCCUCUGUACCCCGAAACGGGUAAAUAUAAAUGUCUCAAUUCUUUCAUCUUCCAAAUCACAUUUGGUACUUUCACCCCCGACCUUCUCAAGCGUAAGUCUAGAGUUUGCAAACAUACCAAAUUACCUAAAGAUGAUGGCAACCGACUUACCUUACUUCUCCUUAGACUCAAAAACCUUAAGUGGACUAGAUUCCCAAUAGUACUCGGCAACUCUACUUCUUCUCUCCAUAUGCCUUCAAACUUUAGAACCCUGAGCAAUUUGAAGUUGCAUACUACUGACCGCAAGAAUUUUUUCUUCCAGUUGGAGAAUCCAUAUUCUGGGUCGACAAAGAAUAACAAAGACCUAAGGUGGUCAUUUCUUGUGGGAGCAAAGCUUUCAACACAUUUUUCCUCCACAUAUACACCAAGUCUUCGAACUUUAGGAAUUGUCGCUGCCUUGGUUAUCGUGCUAGUAAAAUUUACAACGUGAAGAAAGUCCUCCUCUUCUGCCUUUACCAAGCACAAGUCUCGCAUAAGAUCAUGAAGAUGACAUGUUUUGAUCUUCUUAGUUGAACCAAGUGUUCCAACUUGAACCAUACAUCUUUGCACCAACUCACUUAAGCAAGUAUAUGCUACAUCUUCCAAUACUUCCGCUGAACCAUGUCCUUGGGAUGCUGAAGAUAUAAAACCUUCUGCUAUCCAUAACUGACGCAAUCUUUUGACUGGUAUCUCAUAAUCCUCUGGAAAAUGGCCUAAAUAUAGAAAACAUAGUUUUAAACGAUAUGAUAACUCGUCAUAACUCAAUGCUAACACCCUUAAUGCACCUGCAUAUUCUUGAUCGCCUUUAUAUUCUUGGUCAAGAUUAGUUCCUCUCCGUAUAUAUACAUCAACAUUCUCGUGUACUUUUUUCCACUCCUCAACUGUGACUUUUCUAGCUAGAAGUCCCGCAAGCACAGUAAUGGCUAAUGGUAGACCUGCACAAUGUUUAAGCAUCUCCUUUCCUAGUUUUUCCUUCUCAGGAUCAAUUUUAGAGUCUGAAAAAAAUUAAGAAAAAUAGGUUAAAUAUUAUGUCCUAGACUAAUCACUCGCAAGCACAAUAAUGGCUAAUGGCAGACCUGCACAAUGUUGAGGCAUCUUCUUUCCUAGUUCUUCCUUCUUAGCAUCAAUUUCAGAGUCUGAAAAAAAUUAAAAAAUGGGUUAAUUAUUAUGUCCUAGACUUGGUCAUUCUGAAGAUAUUCUGUAUAUGUUGGAUUUUUUUUUUUUUUUUUUACAGUAGAACAUAAAUCUCAGCCUCUGAUUUCUCAAGAAAAUGAAUUUCUUCGUUCCAAAAUAGUUACAUGAAAUGCAGUAAUCUCUAUCAAAUAGUUAACUAAAGUUAUUAGAGUUUUGGUUGAUAACAAGGAAGAAGACGAGGAGAAAACCAAAAUUAAAUAAUGUUCCGUGAGGUCAAGCGUCAAGGAUUAUAAGUUCAUAGCAUCUUUUGAACUAUUUUUUGGUACUCGCGGUGCUCGAAUGAAUUUUUAAUGAAAUAUUGGAACCUCACGUGACAGCUAAGGUGUGGCUGACUUGCCACGUGACAGCUGCUGGAGUGACCAGGAGUGGUGCUGAUGUAAUUGUAUGGACUGAAAAAAAGAGAACAAAAGGAAGAGUGAAAUGGCAGGCUGCCAUUCGAUCGAAUAGUUAAUGCAGUUGAAGCGGUGCGGUGCACCUGAUCUAAAUCAUAAGAUUUUGAUUGUUUUUCUUCGUUGUCUAAAGCAAAGUCUGGAGAAACAUUCAAGAUUAUGCGAUCUCUUUCACUCAAACAUUCAAAUAAAAUUUCUAUCAUAAUUUUUUUAUGUACCGCACCAAAUUCAAUUCCGUUUUCACUUACGGAUUUCUGGAGAAAAACAUUACAAAUUACAAUCUGAGGUAGGGGUUUCUGAAUUUGAUUUGUCUCACUUUACUGCUUGAAAUUGACAUUUAACUUUUUUUUUUGUCUCACUUCACUUCAUUUUGUUAAAAGAGUUUAAAAUGUCAAUUUCAGAAAGUAAAAUAAGACAAAUCAAUUUCAAAAAUAAAAAAAAAUUGAUGCUAAAUGACAGUUUUAUGGGGUAUUUGAUUUACUAAGCCUUAAAAGAUAAUGUCAUCUCUUUCACUCAAACCCCCAAAUCAAAUUUCAAUCAUAAUUUUUUUUUUAUUUGCUUCACCAAAUUUGAUUCCGUUUUUGCCUCCGGACAUUUUGGAGAAAAGUAUUACAAUUUACAUGAGGUAAGAAUUUCUAAGUUUGCUACAGAUUUCGAAAUGUUGCCAUCAGUGGCGGAUCCAGGAUUUUAACUUAGGGUGGUCCCAAUAUAAAAGUUCCAAAAAAAAAAACAAGACGAAAAUAUCAUUGAACAAAUAAAUGGCAAACUACAAAUUUCAUUCAUAAUCUUUGUGCUAAACAAGCUAGAAAUAUUAAAUUUGUCCACGACGGGAUCUCAUACUUUGAAAACGUGUCAUGAUAGUUUCAUUGUCAAUACAAGAAAAAACAUCUUUCUCAAUAUAAACAACUAAGCUAUCAUUUAACCAUUGAUCCCUCAUUAUGUUGCAGAGUGGACUCUUAAUGAUAUUCAUGGCAUAAAAUGCUCUCUCCACUGAAGCAGUUGCAACAGGUAAAACCAAAGCCAAUUCAAUAAGUAAAUACACAUAUUGAAAUACUCGAUGUAACCUUUUUUCCACCAUUUUCUUAGCAAGAUCACUAAUGAUUUGCAACUGAGAAAAGUCACUUCUCGAACGCAUACAACAACAACAACAACAACAAAGCCUUUUACCACUAAGUGGGGUCGGCUAUAUGAAUCCUAGAACGCCAUUGCGCUCGGUUUUGUGUCAUGUCCUCCGUUAGAUCCAAGUACUCUAAGCCCUUUCUUAGAGUCUCUUCCAAAGUUUUCCUAGGUCUUCCUCUACCCCUUCGGCCCUGAACCUCUGUCCCGUUGUCUGAGCCAUGAACAGAAGGAAAGACAGAUUCCAUUGACAGAAUAUUGAGCAAAUAGGGAUUCUUUCUGCUGUUAGAAAAGCAGAUGAAAUCUCAAAGUAGAGCAGCUUGAAAUAAUUACUUAACUGAAGCAGCUGCAGAUGCAUUAGGUUUGGCAGGGUAGAACCUUAUGGAUUGAAUGUUGGUACCCAUGGCUUUCAUAAAGUUAUAAACCAUGCAAGAAUGGUGCAGGAUGUAAUGAGCCAUCACUGUAUGGCCUAGAAGUUAGCUCCAUUGAUGAGGAUUGGAUUAGGUAGACAAACUGAAACGUCGUUACAGGAUCUGAGCUCACACUCAAAGUUGGUUUGAAUGGUUUAGUUAGAUCCUUAUGAACAUGAAACUGAAUAGAGGAUUAGUGUUCGAAAGAGAGAGAGAGAGAGUGAGAGUGUGGCUUCCCUGGGCUGUAGCCAGUGGCGAAGCUACGUGAGGACGAGGAGUGGCAGCCGCCCCUCCCCUCGCCGGAAAUCAAGCCCAGGAGCGGUGGUUCCGCCCCUCCGGUCACGUCGAAAGCGAUAAAUUUCCGUCUGGUUUUCGACCUUUUGGAUGUCCCUGCUCUAUCCCAGCAUAGGCUGAUUGCGUGCUCUCUUAUUUUCGAAAAACCUAAGCCAAAGAAAGGAGAAACGAAGAUCUGCAUUUUGCAGCUUCUGGAAACUAGAAAUUUAGUUCUGGAACACUGGUUCGAACGAAGAAGAAGGGAAAGGAAGAAGAGAGAGACUUUCUCUCUCCCAUCUCACCCCACCCCACGUGACCUUUCUUAAUUACAAUUUGUUUUUUUUUUUUUAAAUAUUGGCCAAUCAAUUGGCACCACCAACCUGCUUUGAUUUAUUUUUUAAUUAUUGUUAAAUUAAUUUGACCACUCUUUCAAUAUUUUUUAAGCCAUUUGUUUGACACUAUUAUUCAUCUUAAAAUUCAUUAUAAAUUUAUACGAGCUUCAAAAAAUAAUUUGUAAAAUAUUACGAACUCGUCAUUAUUUUUUUUCUUUCUCUUACCAUCAAAUUCAACAAAGUAAUAAAGAAAAUUUGUCAAUAUUUUUAUAUAUUAUAUGUUUUAUAAUAAAUAUUUUUUGGAUAUUAUAAGCUAUAUAAUAAAUAGACAAUUAUUUAUACGGUAUAUAAUAAAUUUAUUCAAAUUUGCCUAGGCCCUCGCCUUAAUGUAAAGUCAUGUCCAUUGCCCGAUUAGAGCUUAGCAUCUUUUAAAACUUUGCUAAUUAUACAGUUAAGUAAUAGGACGAUACAAAGAGAAACGGUGCUAAAUCAUCCUUCAAAUAAUAUUGUUGUUCAAACCCUCCUUCGACUAUUUUGAGUAGUCCAAAUCUUCUUUUGAAUAUUUCGGUUAGUGCAAAUUCUUCUACGGGUAGUUCAAAUAAUCUUCUUGCAAAUCCUAGACUUAAACCUCGAAUAAAUGUUCACAUUUUUCGGGACCCUAAAUUUUUUAAAUUUCGCCCCUCCUCUCAAGAAUUCCUGGCUUCGCCACUGGCUGUAGCACGGGACAGUUCUUGCCCAAUCAGUUUUUGACAGAGGUUUUUCCAUUUUUAGGCUAUGAAAAUCAGAUGAGAGAGAGAGAGAGAGAGAAGGAGAUUGUGGCUUCCCUGGGCUGUAGCACGGGACAGUUCUUGCCCAAUCAGUUUUUGACAGAGUUUUUUUCCAUUUUUAGGCUAUGAAAAUCAGAUUUAAAUAAAUUUAUCCCAGGUUUUAUUAGUUUAAUAAGUCCAAUCAAAACUCAUUAAACUAAUUAUAGGUGCAAGUAAGCCUAUAAAACUGAUUAUCAUUCCAUUUUUCUUCUACAGUCUCCCCUUUUCAAGCCAUAAUUGGUGGUUUUUUCAUCAUAUAAUUGGUCAUCUUCGGUUAUACUUUUUUUUUCCCUUUUUUUUCUCAAAUAAUAUUAGCCCAACCCUCUGAAAAAUCCUAGCUCUGCCCUUUCUUGUGUCUAUCAUUUUGCAUUAAGAACUUUACAUUUUACCACGUUUUUUGGGUGGUAUAGACGGAGAGUAAUUGGAGGAAUUUUUAGGGAGAAAGGGGCGGGGAAGUGGAUCACUUGUGGUAUAUGGUUUGAUUUUGGUAUCCCUUUGGUGCCGGAUCUUCAGAGUUUUGGUAUAAUUCUUUUGAAGCUAUCUUUAAUGAUUGAAAAGCUAUUUUGCUUUAGCUAUUUUUUAUUUUUUUCACUUGGUAUGACAGAAUAAUUAUGAUUAUCCUUUUAUUUAUUGUAGAUAAGCAGCUUAGAAUUAUAAGUGGACGUAUAAAAAUAAAAUAAAUUUUUCUCUUUUAAGUAUCUGUUUCCACAGUAUUCGGAGCUAAUAUUAUUUUUAUAUGUAUUUCCAUUUCUUGACGUUUCCUGGUGAUGAUUUAGGAUGCUUUCUGUUGUACGGCCCUUUAUCUACAGUAAGGAUUGAACAUAGUUAGGGAGGAGAGGGAUGAAAAUUGAAACUCCUGCCACAAAUCCCCAAAACCUUAAUGUCGAUGAAAUGAAAAUGUAGGAACAUAGAUAUUCCACCAAUCUACUGGUACUCAUUUAUAAAAUGAAGCAAGGGAAUUAACUACGCCAAGAUGGUUAUCCAUUAAUGUUGCUCUCUGAUCAUUUAAUAACAAUUUGCACUCAUCGAGGACAAGUCAUUUAAUUUGUCUUGUGCCUCAAUAUCGUAUGCCAUCAUAUCUUAUUGUAGGACAUUGAUUGUUCAACAUUACCUUGCAGAUGAAUCAAGUUAUCUGUCGUAUGUUUCAUCUUGGCAGGGGACUUCGCCAUGCAUAUUGGGCGGGCACCAAAUUUUUUGCUGUUCUAUAUCAUACUAGAUAAAGUGCUUGCUUUCGUUCUUGGAAGACUAGAUUCAACAUUCAGGCACCAGCAGCGUCAUUCACUGGUGGGCUAGUUGGGGAUUCAUCCCCUUAUGCUGUACUACCUCAGGUAAUUCUCAACGGUCAACUGGAAGGAGGUGCAAUUUAAUAGGAUAACAUUUCAGUUUAUCAAAUCAAAUGGGCAAACAAAACUCCUCGGUUGGAUGGUGCUGCUUGUUGACUGUACUGACAUCAUGUAAUUUUGAAUAGAUGGUAGGUUUAGGCUGUUCUGGUUCUUAUAGUCAGCUCUCUGUAAACCUUAUGCUCUAGAACUAGCAAAGCAAUUUAGUAACUAAAGACUUCCCAAUGCCCAAUUCAGUUGUUUAGCUUCAGCGUAUGGCCAAGCGGAAGGAAGAAAGCUCUUCACCCCCUGUUAGUAUGUUGAGUGCUCUUGAUUGAUGAGAUGAUAUAUUCUAUUUAUCGUAUUCAGAACUAGGUUAUUUUACUUGAGAGAUAUAGUUUUUUAUUUCUUCAUAUUCUUAAAUGUUUAUUAUUUCUUCAUAUUCUUAAAUGUUCUGAUUGCCUUAUCUGCUUGUGGUGGUGAGCAACGUGGGACAAUGAAAUUCUACGCAAAAUUUCUAACAUACACUUGAGGGUUUAUGUUUCGGUGGCAUGCACAUGAGAAGGCACCACUCCACUUUGUCAUCCCCGUUGCCAUUGUGGCAUUGCAGAGUUUGGAUAAUGCGAGGCAUUACUUCUUGUUAUCAAUUGGUAUGCUUCUUCUUGAUUUAAUUUCUUCGCAGAGAAAUGAGGGGAGAUUUGUUUGAGUGGGGGUUAUCAGCUUCAGGAUAGCUGCCAAACUUUUAUAAAAAGGUUUCAAUACAUCUUCAAAACUUAAAUGUUAGGGAGUCUUUGACUAAAGAUCACUGAGACUCAGUAUUUUGUAGAAAUCAUCUCCUCCUUUCCCAACCCUAUUACAGAAUUCCCGUGGCAUGUUUGUGAUUGUUAAUUCCUUGAGGGUUUUAACAUUCUCAAGCCCCUCAGGAACUGCCCUCAAUCCCCAGCACCACUCAAUAGACAAUCUUUCCUUGAGGGUUUUGAACAUUCUCAAGCCCCUCAGGAACUGCCCUCUAUCCCCCGCACCACUCAAUAGACAAAUCUGCGGAGGCUACCCAUACCUCCUUUCUCUAUGCUCCAACUCUUUAAUUCCCUCAAAUAUUCAAGUGAGAGAAAUUCAAGAUUAGGAUAACCUUCUGUUGGGACAACUAUUUCUGAAACAUUCUCCAAACUACCAGUACGCAACCAAAGCAUUCUUAAGUUUGGGAUAUUCUCAAGUAUUUUGAGACUCUCCAACUGUAGACCAGUAUCGAACAGCGACAUCUUAGUGAGGUCCUCAUAGCCCUGGAGACCUUCCAAUGAUUGUUCUCUGAUUUUCCCGCUCAAUUGAAGUUUGUAUGUAUGAGGACAACUCAAUCCCAUAUUCAUUGGUAUAACUUCUCCAGGAGAGUACACAGAUAGAGAUCGAAGAUGGUUAAAUGUGAUGCCAGUAGAUUUCAACAUUUCCUCCAUAUUUUCCACCCCACCUCUUAUGAACAGUUUUCUGAGAUUGGUCAAUUCAGCAAGAUGAUUCAAAUCACAAUCAGCACCUGCAACAUUGACUAAACUCUGCAAAUUCCCAAGAGCAGCCAAGUUCAACCUCCCUUUGUACCCUCUGGGUAAAUAUAAAUGUCUCAAUUCUUUCAUGCUAGACAGUUGAGGGUAGGCAGGAUGAGAUUGAAUUAGAUGUUGGAUUUAAUGCCAAAUCCAACAAUUAUUUAUCCUAAGGAGGAGGGGGUAGCCUCUCAAUGGGCUAGUAAUAAUGUGGUUCAAACUCGGAUUUGACGAGAAUUGAACCUAAGACCUCUCACUUACAAGUGAAGAGGAAUAUCAUUAGACCGUAGUAUUAAGUAGCUCAAGUAAAAUUGUUAUGUGUGCAUAUUGAAAUAACAGUCCUAAAAUCGCUACUCGCUUGGGAGUUUUUUUACAAGCUUUUUAUUUGCAUUUGUGUUUGGCCAUCAGCUCUGUAACUUUUCUGUUAUGAUUUUCUCAUUAAGUUUUGUUACUUAAGGGUGGGUAUCUACCAAACUUUUAUAAAAACGUAUCAAUACAUUUUCAAAAUUUCAAUGUUAGGGAGUCUUUUGACUCAAGAUCAUUGAAACUGAGUGGAUAAUUAAUAUUUAAGUGUUUGAAUUGAGUGUUUUUGAAAGCAUUUGUAAUUGAUGGAAGGAAAGAACAAACCUUUUGCAGACAACACCGGAGCCCCAAAAAAAAUCAUUAAAAUAUCCAAUUUGAUUUGGUACUCUACAAUUAUAUGAUUGGGAGUUCGUUAUGCCAAAAAACAAAUAAAAAAUCAUUCAAAUGUGGUUCUAUUUAGAAUUCCUUUGAAACAAAAUAUUAUUUCAUUUGUGCUAUUGAUCCUUCGUUUCCUACUCAUACACUCAUGAUUUUUUGCAUAGAUUACAAAACAAUUAUCGUAAACCUAUUCUUGCAUUUCAUUGCACAUGUUAUUAGCACUAUUGUGGCAUCGACUAUGGACAACUGUUUUUGCAUAGAUUACAGAUCACCAAGGCUUACAGCUUCCCAGUUCCAAGUAUAAAACAAAGAGAAAUUAAGCAAAUCACUAAAAAAUCUUAGUUUUAAUUGACCUUUUGUAUACAUACCAUUAAAGAGUAUAUAUGAUAUGAACAAUUAUGUUUAUAAACACAAAUCGGGAGUAAUGAAGAGCCAAACAUUGUUAUUAUUGGAAGGCUUUUUAUAUUAGCACCCCACAAAGUGUUGAAUUUAUCCCACAUUAAAAUUUAAUAUUAAAUGACAUAUUUACCUCACUAUGCAAUAACAAUUUUGACCUUAUUAGGCUUUUUUUUAAAAAAAAAAUUUCUAAAUACACCCCAAAUCUCUUUUAGCAUAUUAUUUAUCUUCUCAACUAUCAAAACCCUCUCAUUCUCCAUUGUUGAACAAAACCCUAACCAAUGAAACUACGAACAUGUUGAUUGAGAAAAAUUGUUUUUGGCGAAUAGAACACGAACUCGAUGUUUCGGAAGCUUCAUAUGAGGUAAGAUUUCAUAUUUUUCAUUGUUUUAGUGAUUUUGAUGACAUCGAUAAUUAUUUAUCUUGCGUUUGUUACGUUAUUUAAACUUCUAUAUUCAUAUUCAUCUUUUAGGGUUCAAAUUAAUCUUGCGUACCCAAUAACAUGAAUCAUAUUAGUGCUAAAGUCAUAUACUAUUACAAAGUAGGUAACCCGCUCUGCCUCAAAUAACGAGUUCAAAGCGUAAUUGUUAGGUGAUAUGGAAGUGAAAAGAAACCUAAAAGCUUGGAGGAAGUGGGGUGUAUAGAAAAUUAAAAAUGAGUGUUAUAAGAUUUGAGAAAUGUGGGGUGUAUGUAUAACAUAUAAAGUGUACAUUGAGAAUAUGGGGUGUGGGGGUAUUAUGAGAAAGUAUGUGGUGUGUAUUAAGAUAAUUUUUAAGUGAAAAAAUAAAUGUGGGGUGUAUUAAGUAUGUAGGGUUUAUUUAACAAUUUGUGGGAUGUUAAUAUAAUAAACCUUAUUGGAAAUGCGUUUAACGGGCCCAAACUGACUAAAGCCCACAAGGGCCACAACGGCCUCAACAAAACGCAUACCCAUUUCCUCCUCCAUUUCCACAACCCAAAAAGUCCGAAGCCAUUUCCGAAACAAAAAACCCUCUCCCCAAACUCCACCAUCUGUCUCUCUGACCUUGCGAGACCCCUUCCUCCGCCACUCUCUCUCUGCGACCCUGCGACCCUGCGAGACCCGAGCGACACCUCACUCCGCCACCAUGCUGCGCCAAGCCACCACCUUCUGACCCGAUCAGCUAUCCCCCUCAGCGCCAGUCCCUUUUCCACCGACGUCGCUGCGACUGCCCCAGCUGGUUCUACUUUUAGCGACGCCUGGAAGAAGGCGGUGCCUCACAUAGAACCCCCCAAGACCCUAUUGACCUUCAUGAAAGCCUCGGCCUGCAACCCCGUCGUCGAUCCCCACUAAGCUCCCUGUCAACUUUGUGCUCCCUUAUGCGUCCGAACUUUCGGCCAAAGAGGUCAGUUUUCGAGAGAUUUGUUGUGGGUUUUCUGCAAUUUUUUGGUCUGAGGUUUGAUUUGAGAUUUAUGUGAUAUGGAUUUUGUAUGAUUUAAUGCGGGUUCAUCUGGGUUUGGUGCUAAUUGUGGUUUUCAAGUCGAACUUGUUGGCUCUAGUUUGAAUUGGGUAUUCUGCUGUUUUGAGUAGGUUUGGAUGGGUUUGGAGCUAAUUCGAUAUUAAUUCCAUUUCCUCUCCUUCAUCAAGCUCUGUGACUCCUUUUAGUCCUUUUGAUUGGUAAAUGGGUAUGGAAAUCAGACUUGAGCAACAUAGCUGAGUGGGUUAGAGCAUGGUUGCAUGCCAAAAAAAAAAAAAAUGUCACGGUCCCGUUGGCAGUUAAAUUGUUACUUGUUAUGUCGAUGCAGACAUGAUUGCUGUAGAGGCUGUCCCUCUUGAUCGUGUCGAUGCAAGUCUUGUCCAGAAGGGGCUUGCAGAGUUCACCCAGAAGCUCAACUCAGUGUCGACUGACUUAGAGAAAUCUGAAGCCCAGGUUGGGGUUGAUGUGCAUAGUGCCCUCAACUCUGAUCUCACUGGCUAGUUUUACUAGUCUUUGUGUGAUUGUGGACCAUUUGCAUUUCCAGGACAAUAGGUUUUUGCUUGGGAUUUUGUUGAUUUCGCUUUUGUGUUUGGAGGAAGCGAGGGACUUGAUUUGUGGGCUUGCUUUUUCUGUGUUGUUGUGCUUCAAGCAUUUGUUUGCGGUCGUGGCACCUGUUUUUUUGUUUACUUGUUGAGGCAUUAUUGUUAAGGAUUGGUGAGGAUUUGGAGGAAGAAAGCUCUUCACCCCGUGUUAGUAUGUUGAGUGCUCUGGAUUGAUAAGAUGAUAUAUUUUAUUUAUCAUACUCAGAACUAGGUUAUUUUACUUGACAGAAACAGUUUUUUAUUUCUUCAUAUUCUUAAUGUUUUUGGGUCCUAAUUUUUGUGAAUUGAUGAAAUGGUAGGUCAUCCCUUUGACAACCUUUAUCCUGGUUCUGAUUGCCUUAUCUCCUUGUCUCAUUGAAGCUUGGAGCCAUCCACUGCCAUCGUUGAUUACAAGAUGUGUUGCCUAUGCAUAUACUUGUGGGUUUAUGUUUGGGUGGCACUUUCAUGAGAAGGCAUCACUCCACUUUGUCUCUUGCCAUUGUUGCAGUGCAGAGUUUGGAUAAUGUGAGGCUUUACUUCUUGUUAUCAAUUGGUAUCCUUCUUCUUGCUUUCAUUUCUUCGCAGAGAAACGAGGGGGGUUUCCUUGAGAGAUUUGUUUGAGUGGGGGUUAUUAUGUUUCAGGUAACUAUCAAACUUUAUAAAAAGGUUUCAAUACACCUUCAAAACUUCAAGGUUAGACAGAACAAACCUUUGUAAUUGAUGGAAGGAGAGAACAAACCUUUGCAUGCAACACCCAAGCCCCAAGUAAAUAAUCAAAAUAUCUGAUUUGAUCUGGUAUUCUGCAAUUAUAUGAUUGGAAGUCCAUUAUGCCGAAAAAUAAAUAAAAAAUCAUUCAGAUGUAAUGCUGUUUAGAAUUCUUUUAAAAAGGUUUUUCUGCUCCAUUCUUUCAACGUUCUGUACCUUUCUUUAGCGUCAAAAUUUCCCCAAAAUACGGCUAUUGUGUUGCAACAGUGUAUGUUACAGUAUUCAAAACAAAGCCUUAAUAUGUUGGUUUUCCAUUUGCUAUUAAUUCUUCGUUUGCCACUCAUACACUCAUGUUUUUUGUGCAGUGUUUUCUAUGCAGUUUCCUGCGACUCGCUGUUCCCACUUCUACAUGAAGCGCUUCAGGAGUAUCCAGUAAAGGUUUUAUUGCUGUAGCUCCCAGAUCACUACUCUCUCUAUCUCCUUUCUUUCUUGUCGUGUUCUCUCUCUCCUUUUUCUCUCGUGGUAUUCCCUCUCCCUCUAAACACCAUCUUCUCGUCAUCAAAUAACGGCCUUCCGGACAAUCACGAUUUCGUAUGAUUUUAUCUUACUUUUUUUUUAGGGAAUCUGCAGCACUGCUGUCUUUCCUAUUUGAUAUUUGUCUAAUUUCUUAUGAGUCCUUGACACCUAGUGUGACUGUCGCAAUCUGAAAACUAACGAAGUCUCUUUCUAUGCAUAAUAAAAAUUAUUUUCUUCUCCCUUUCCAUAUGCAUGGCAUAAAAAUUGUUUUAACACGGACUACUUAAUUUUUUUAUUAGUUUUAACAAAUUACUUAAAAUUGUUUUUGCAUAAAUUACCGAAAAUUAAUUUUGCAUUGGCUACCAACAACUGCUUUUGCACAAAUUCCUAAUAACUAUUUUCACGUCGUUUGCAUUACUCGCGGUUUUUGUGUUGUUGCAAAGGACAACUUUUUAAUUUUUUUGCACUUGGUAUGGUUGAAUAUGAAACUCGUUUUCCUCGUUAAAUCUAUUUCAAAUAUAAAACAUUUAUUUUAAUAAACUAUUGAAAUUGGUUUUUGACGAAAUUUACAUAACUGUUUUGCCAUAAAUUUGAACAACUGUUUGUGCACGAAAUUUCAACAACUCUUUUUCAUAAAGAAGAUCAAUACUUAGUUACUCAAAAGAUGAGUUUUAUUCAAAACUGUUUGUUUUCGAUUCAUAAUAUUUAGUGUAUGUGAUCUGAAUCGUUCAUAUUAUUAAUCAUUUUAUAAAGAUUACUUUUGCAAAAAAUCAAUUAGAAAUAAGGUUGUUUGGUUAUCAAAAUGUAUAAAAAAAACAGAUGAACGAAAUUUGUAGAAGCAUUACGAAUUGCUAAGUAUUUACUACAAUAAAUUUCAUUUUUUGCAUGGAUAUUUUUUACAAAGUUUCAUAAUAUGAACACUUAUGAUCACAAGCACAAAACUUUGUUAUUCAAACUCGAAAAGUUUUGAGUAAGAAUUACAACUUAGAAAACUGUUUUUGCACGAAAUUGAAAAUAGUAUUUUUGCACAUCAUUUUAGACUACUGAAAACUAUUAUGGCACCCAUUAUCAAAACGAUUAUCUUGGACAACUGUUGAUGCAUUUGGUUGCAUAUGUUAUUAGUAACUAUUGUGGCAUCGACUAUCGACAAAUGUUUUUUCGUUUUUACAUGUACACACCAUUGAAAACUGUUGUGCUUAUUAUUAGUAGACUAUUGACAACAGUGAAUUUGUUAAUGAAUGGUAGAUACAAAUGCUAAUACAUGAAUUAAAUGGAGCAUCCUAAUAAAACAAGUUGUGUAAUGUAAUGCAACUGCUAAUCACCAAGGCUUUUACAGCUUCCGAGUUGGGACACUGCUUCCCUUUCUUGAUCCUUGCCUUACCACGAUCUAACUAGUAUAAAACAAAAUUAAGCAGUCAUAUUGCUGUCCUGUGCAUAUGAUACUUACCACAUCGAUGCGCUAGCUGCCUUCAAUUAUUAAGUCAUUAAGAAGAGAAUUUUCACCUGAUUUUGCGAGAUUGGCCUUGCCUUCCCCUUCCCAGCAGCAGCAUCCGCCACCUCUGCCCCACUCCACAUUAUGAUUUACCCAUGAGAAACUGAGAUAAAAUAGCCGCACAACACAAAACACAAUUAAUAUAAGUAGCAUGCUUACCAGUUAUCCACUUCUCACAUUAUUGUAACAGAAGGCACAUGUUUAAUUUUGUAGAAAUCCUCUCCUUCCCCAGCCCUACUACAGAAUUCCCGUCGCAUGCCUAUGAUUGUUAGUUCCUUGAGGGUACUAACAUGCUGAAGCCCCUCAGGAACUGCCCUCAAUUCCAAGCAUUCUAUAAUAGACAAUCUGCAGAGAUUAGGCAUGCCUCCUUUCUCUAUGCUCCAACUCUUUAAUUCUUCCAUCCCACCAAGUGAAAGAAAUUCAAGAUUAGGAUAACCUUCUUCUGAGACAACUACUUCUGAUGAAACAUUCUUGUCCAAACUACCAGCAUUAAGCCAAAGCAUUCUUAAGUUUGGGAUCUUCUCAAGUAUUUUGAGACUCUCCAACUGUAGUUUAGUCCAACUCAUCGACAUCUUAGUGAGGUUCUGAUAGUACUGGAGACCUUCCAAUGAUUCAUCUCUCAUUCUCCCUUCCAACUCAAGUUUGUAUAUAUGAGGACAACUCAAUACCAUUUUCAUUGGUAUAACUUCAGACCCCACGAAAAGAGAUAGAGAUCGAAGAUGGUUAAAUGUGAUGCCAGUAGAUUUCAACAUUUCCUCCAUAUUUUUCACCUCACCUUGUAUGAACAUUUUUCUGAGAUUGGUCAAUUCAGCAAGAUGAGUCAAAUCACAAUCAGCACCUGCAACAUUGACUAAACUCUGCAAAUUCCCAAGAGUAGCCAACUUCAACUUCCCUCUGUACCCCGAAACGGGUAAAUAUAAAUGUCUCAAUUCUUUCAUCUUCCAAAUCACAUUUGGUACUUUCACCCCCCACCCAACAUACAAGCGUAAGUCUAGAGUUUGCAAACAUACCAAAUUACCUAAAGAUGAUGGCAACCGUCUUACAUGACUUUCCCUUAGACUUAAAAACCUUAAGUGGACUAGAUUCCCAAUAUUACUCGGCAACUCUACAUAACUCAGUAUGCCUUCAAGCUUUAGAACCCUGAGCAAUUUGAAGUUGCAUACUACUGACCGCAAGAAUUUUUUCUUCCAGUUGGAGAAUCUAUAUUCUGGGUCGACAAAGAAUAACAAAGACCUAAGGUGGUCAUUUCUUGUGGGAGCAAAUUUAUCAACAAAUUCUGUUUCCACAUGUACACCAAGUCUUCGACCUUUAGGAAUUGUCGCUGUCUUGGUUAUCGUACUGGUAAAAUUUACAACGUGAAGAAAGUUCUCCUCUUCUGCCUUUACCAAGCACAAGUCUCGCAUAAGAUCAUGAAGAUGACAUGUUUUGAUCCUCUUAGUUGAACCAAGUAUUCCAACUUGAACCAUACAUCUUUCCACCAACUCAAUUAAGCAAGCAUAUGCUACAUCUUCCAAUACCUCCGCUGAACCAUGUCGUUGGGAACCCGAAGAUAUAAAACCUUCUGCUAUCCAUAACUGAGCCAAUCUUUUGACCGGUAUCUCAUAAUCCUCCGGAAAGUGACCUAAGUAUAGAAAACAUAGUUUUAGACAAUAUGGUAAGUCGUCAUAACUCAAUGCCAACACCCUUAAUGCACCAGCAUAUUCUUGAUCGCCUUUGUACUCUGUGUCAAGAUUAGUUCCUCUCCGUAUAUACACAUCAACGUUCUCGUAUACUGCAUUCCACUCAUCAAUUGUGACCUUUCUAGCUAGAAGUCCCGCAAGCACAGUAAUGGCUAAUGGCAGACGUGCACAAUGUUUGAGCAUCUUCUUUCCUAGUUCUUCCUUCUCAGCAUCAAUUUUAGAGUCUGAAAAAAAAAAAUUAAGAAAAAUAGGUUAACUAUUAUGUUCUAGACUAGUCAUUUGCAAGCACAGCAAUGGCUAAUGCAGACCUGCACAAUGUUGAGGCAUCUUCUUUCCUAGUUCUUCCUUUUCAGCAUCAAUUUCAGGGUGAAAAAAUUAAGAAAAAUGGGUUAACUAUUAUGUCCUAGACUUGUCAUUCUUAAGAUAUUCUAUGUAUGUUGUCAAUGUCCUUUUGGAUUGUUGAAUAUUUUUACAGUAGAACAUAAAUAUUAGUGUCUGAUGUCACAAGAAAAUGAAUUUUGGAAGGGAGAAAUCAUAGUUACAUGAAAUGCAGUAAUCUCAAUCAAUUAGGCUUAAUAGUUAACGAAAGUAAAGUAAUUAGAGUUUUGAUUGAUAACAAGGAAGAAGAGUAGAAAACUGAAAAUGUGGAAAUACAAAGGGAGAGAGCAACUCACGACCUGCUCUGUUGCUGCUCUCAAACAAGUCUCUUUAUUUUAGUUUUGGGUGUAGGGGUCGGCAGACUCGGCACAAGGGCAUUCUACAACAUGCAUGUUUUUUCAUUCAUCAUGGAAGGUUAGAAGUAACCUCUCCACCCAUAGAUACAUCAUUGCUUAGACUUUUUGGUAGCAACAACAAUAUUAAGUAAAAAUAUCUAGCUGCUUAGCUAAACCUAAACAGGCGCUGUGCACCGAUACUACCACCCAUCUUGGACGAUUUAAACUAGAGUAUGUCUCAAACUAAUACCCUAGACAUUCAUCAAUUCUCUUAGCGAUUUGGGACAAUGACCUUACCUCUCAUCAAUGUUUUUCAAGCCAAUCCCUAAAAUUUAUCCAAGCCAAUCAGUGUAUCAAAUUGUGAAACCUCGAAAAUGUAUUUGAAAGUGUUGUUAUAAUUUUAGGAGAAUUUUGGAGUUUCUUCAAAUUUGACGAUUGGUGGUCGGCUUUAAUUAUUAUUAUUUUUUUUUUUGCCAAACGAUAGAUUUUGUUAAAUUAGAUGUUAGAUUAGCCACCGACAGAGUUUGAACUCACGCCGUCAUCUAAGAGCUCAACACCUUUCCACAACAGUGGUAAAGAGCCACUUACAAGUCGGCUUUAAAUUUUAAAGAGGUGAGAAAAUAAGUAAGUUUUUUUUAGGUUAAAGAUGAAUUUUAAGUGAUGAGAUGAAAGUGGACAAAAUUACAAGUUCAUGGCAUUUUUGAAUUAUUUUUUAGAACCCAAUGAAUUUUUAAUACAAUUUUGGAAGGCCACGUGACAGCUAAGGUGUGGUUGACUUGUCACGCGACAGCUGCUAAGGUGGUGUGUUGACAGACAGUCAUGCAUGUAAGGACUGAAAGAAAAGAGAAGGAAGAGGAUCCUCUCCGGACCCACUGAAGGCCGAGUCGACAUCGUGGUUUCUCAGGAGUCGGUGUCGUGCUUCCCGAAGUCGGCGUCGUAGCCUCCAAAGAGCUAGUUAUCGGCAACAUCAUAGUAGUCGUCGCUAACUUGUGUUUGAAGUUUUCCAAUAAAUAAACAAAAAAAAAAGUGAGAAGAAGACUCAUAGUUGAAGAAUAAGGAUUAUUGAAGAAGAAGAAUUGAAAGAGGCAAGGAAGAAGAAGAAAAACUCCAAAGAAAAAAUGACGAAGGAGGAGGAUCCGAAGGGAUUGGGUCCGGAGAGAAUCCUUUCCCAAAAGAGAAGACAAAGUAAGAGAGAAACCAGUUUUAUUCAUUUGGACACCUGAUCUAAAUUAUAAGACCUGAUUGUUUUUCUUCUUUGUCGAAGUAAAGUCUUAAAGUGACAAUAACAGUUCCAUAUAGAUAAUGCUAUUUUUUUUUUCAUUGAAACACUAAAAUCGAAUUUUCUAUCAUAAUUUUUUAUGUACUUCACCAAAUUUGAUUAUGUUUUCGCUUACGGAUUUCUGGACAGGAGUAUUACAAUUUACAAUCUAAGGUAGGAAUUUCUGAGUUUGCUACAGAUUUCAAAAUGUUGCCAUUAGGGAAUUUAUCACUAAAUCAGCUUUAAUGUUCGAUUUAAAGUGUUUAUGUUGAGUUGAUCCUAUUAGGCUUGAUUUAAAUAUCUAGAAUUGUUUUGUUGUUGAAUCUCAUUUUGGUGAAAACUUGGUGAGAUGGAUUGAAUUAUGUAGUAUGAUUGACAAAACGGAAGUAGAACUUGGACUAAAAUGGUGAUUAUAAUGAAAAUGGAAGAAUGAAUAUGGAAUUUUACCUCUGUUGUACAGUUCCUGCAGCUGGGACCUUACUGUAAGGCGUACUAGGUCCUUAUUGUAAGAUUUAUUGAAGUUAUGUCCCUACUAGGUUGUUGAAGUUCACCCCUUUAUAUGUAGGUUUUCGAAUUAGACAGUCAAGAGGGUAGAUGGGAUGACAGUGAAUUAGAGGUGAGGUUAAAAGUUUAAUUUAUUUACUUUCUUUGUAGCCAUGUAAAGAGUUCUUGAGUUUCUUUUUAUAAGAAGAAUUUAUUUUUCACUCCGUUUCAGUUUCUUAUUAUUCUUUUUUUUUUAAAACAUUUGGGUUGCAUUCAAGAUUCGGGAUUUUCCAGCAACUCGGGUCCGGUGCAUGACACAGACGCACCCUAAGUUAAACGAUUAGGGACAAUUAUGUGCGUACUAUAUCGAAAUCAUUAUAAGUGAAAUGCAAUGAUCUCUAUUUUAUUAGGCUUAACAAAUAAACAAAAAUAAAAUAAUGAUAAUAGAGUUGACUGAGAAGUGAGAAACAUACUUGUUUGAUCUCUCCCAAAGAUUGCUAUCUUCUUAAACAGUUCCAAGCAUCCCUCAUCAUCUAGCGCAUGAGAUACAUGAACGAAACCAUUUUCUCCAGCAAUUUCAGCAACGUCCUUCUUCCGAGUGGUGAGUAAUAUACGACUCUUUGUUUCCGCACCGAUUGGAAAUCCAUUUUUCAAAGAGUUCCACGCAUCACGAGUCCAAACGUCAUCAAGAACCACCAAACAUUUCUUUUCUUUUUGGAUGCUACAAAGCUUCUCUACCAUUUGAUUCUUAUUCAUUUCUUUAGUUUUAUCUUUGGUGUCGCGAGUAAGCUGGACCAAAAUAUCUUCCAAAACCUCUUUUCCUUGACAUUGUUGUGACACACACACCCAAGCAAAACAAUCGAAGUGACGCUUAACAUCUUCAUUGUGACCAUAAACUUGUUUUGCAAGAGUGGUCUUUCCUGAACCGCCCAUCCCCCAAAUAGAUACAAGUUUGGGGCCUUUUUCUUCUUUCACCAAUUGCGUGACUAGUAUCUCUAUGUCCUUCUCUAACCCGACAACAUCACGUUCAAUAACAUGAGGAUAAGUUUCCCUUUGUUCCUUUUGCCUCUCAAAAGAAGUGGCACCUCCAUAUUGUGUGCCCCUUAUUUGCUUGAUGUCAUAACCUUGCAAACUCAACCUCAAUUUGGAAAGUUUGGUGGUAAUGCUCUCAAUUUCUGAACCGAACUUGUGACGAUUAUAGACUUCGUUAAAGAUGCAAGCAAACCUUUUCAGAACAAGCUUCACGCUUCCUCCCCUUCUGAGAGCCACUUUCAAAGCAAAAGAUUCAAUGACAUCCUCCAAAUCAUAAGCAGCAUCUCUUAUAAUUUGAACCCAAAUGCGUACUUCAUUGUCUUCUUGUCUUGUAUCUGCAUCUUUCAGGAAGCCCUGCAUCAAAAGUAGCUCAAUUUGUGCAUGCUUAAUUUGAUCGCCAACUCCGCUCAAGAACUUCACCUCCUCAAUGAGACCGCCUUUGAGCCCUUCAAUUACCAUUGAAACUACCGCCUCAGCCAUAUUUCUGAUUUCCACCAAAAAGAAAAAAAAAUUAAACAAGCUUUCUUUUUCGACUUCUGUUUUUCUGCUUGAUUAAAGUGGUUAACUGGAGAAGUCUUUUCUGUUUUUCUCCUCCUUCACAUGCUAUUUAUUCAAUUGUCUAGCGAAUCAGUUGGCUUAAACAUUUGGAAGAGUGCAUAUGCAUAAAGGAAUGAUUUACAUUUGGAAGAGUCCAUAUGCAUAAAAGGAAUAUUUUACAUUUGAAAGAGUGCAUAUGCAUAAGGGUAUAAUUUACAUUUUGAUUAGGGCAAGGCUCCUUUUUCCACCCUCCACUCCAUUAACGCAAGGAAACAACCGAGGGAAAGAUGCUCAAGAUGAGGAAAACCUCCACUGGAGAAAACGUGUGGUCCUGGAAAAGCCGUGGAAGUAACGUGAUUAUUAAGGAAAAGUAUUCUUAAGCUUGGCAGCUUCUCUAGUAUUCCGGACAGUGUUAGCUUGGUAAGGUUUGGAAAGCACAGAAUCCCUUCUGGUAGCUCUCAAUUUUCCCUUUAUUCGUAGCUUGUAUAUCUCAAGACAACUUAAUAUAUGCUAUGUUCCAUGGUAUAACUUAUUCUCCAGAGUCUACGACUGGAGAUGGUUAAAUGUGAAGCUUAUUCUAUCCCAGUUUCUUGUUAGAUUCACCUUCAACACCAAUUUUCUAAGAUUGGUUAGUUUAACCAUAUCAUUUAGAUCACAGUAGCUACUUGAAACAUUGACUAACGUCUGCAAACUGCCUAGAGUAGCCAACGACAAAUUUCUUACUUGCUCUAUAACGUCAGGGUAAAUAUAUAUGUCUCAGUUGUUCCAUCUUUCCGAACACACCUAAGGUUCUCAUCGACGUCCAUAGACAGUGUAAAUUAGAGUCCGCAGGCAUACCAAAUUUGCUGCAGAUGAUGGAAACUCUAUAAUUUGUGUGUUCUUCAGACUCAAAAACCUUAAGUGAACUAGAUUCCCAAUUUCACUCGGUCAACACUUUUUUUUUUUUUUUUUUGGUGAAGAACGGGGAACACAACCCAAAAAGAACUACAAACCAACAGCAAACCGAGUCCGAGGGACUCCAGCAGCAUCAUCAAUGAGAGCUGAUCUAAUCCACACAGGAGGCUCAUCAAAAACAAGAACACCAAUAUCCAUGUUAUAACUCCAAUUAGCCAACUGAUCCGCCACAAUAUUCUUCUCUCUAUAAACGUGAUUCAAUUCACACCUCCUCAAUUGUCUCAUCAUUAAUCUGCAGCUAUGCAUAAUUGUCUCCAAAGGAUGGAAAUUAUCAACUUGGGAUUGCUUCAACAACAUAAUAACAGCCUUGGAAUCCAUCUCAAUAUGAAGCUCAGUAGCACCCUUAUCAAUAGCAAGCUGUAAACCAAAGUAUAAACUCCAUAAUUCAGCAUCACAAACCUGCCCUUGUCCCAAAUUCACAGCAAAGCCACCUAACCAGUUGCCAUUAUGAUCUCUUAGAACGCCACCAGCCCCAAUUCGACCAGAAUUUGUCCUUCUAGACCCAAUAGAAUUUUUACGGGAUAAAUUCCUUGUAUUACUUCCUUGAAAUAUAUACAAAUACAAUCCUUGUUCUAUAAGGAAACUAAAAUUAAAAAGGACACAACAAAUAAUCCUUCCUAAAAAAGGAUUCCUAAUAUUUACAAUAUAUUUACAUACUUAUUUUUGAAGACUCACGUUUACACUCCCCCUCAAGUUGGUGCAUAGAUAUCACACAUGCCCAACUUGACAAGUGAGUCACCAAACUUUCGUCCACACACUGCAUGAGUAAGAACAUCUGCAAGUUGCUCCUCUGACUUUACAAACGGUAUUGAUACAAUCUUCUUUUCAAGCUUCUCUUUAAUAAAAUGUCGAUCCACCUCCACAUGCUUCGUUCUAUCAUGCUGCACCGGGUUAUCAGCGAUAUCUCUUGCGGACUUGUUGUCACAAUACAACUUCAUAGUCUCCUCUAGUUUAAACCCAAGUCCUAAAAGAAGUUUUCGUAGCCAAAGGAUUUCACAAAUCCCUUGAGCCAUUCCUCUAUAUUCGGCCUCAGCUGAAGAUCGUGAUACCACCUUCUGUUUCUUACUUCGCCAUGUCACCAAAUUUCCUCCAACAAAAGUAAAAUACCCAGAAGUAGACCGUCUAUCAGUUACAUCACCUGCCCAAUCUGCAUCAGUAAACCCUUCAAUUCUCAAAUGCCCGUGUUUCCCAUACAAUACUCAUUUUCCAGGUGCCGACUUCAAGUAUGCCAAGAUACGCAUAACAGCAGCCAUGUGAUCCACAUUUGGUGAAUGCAUGAACUGACUCACAACACUCACAGCAUAAGCAAUAUCAGGACGAGUAUGAGCCAAAUAAAUAAGUCUCCCUACAAGCCUCUGAUAUCUCCCUUUGUCAACCGAUUUCUGACUUGGAUUCAAAUCCAAAUGAUGCUUCUCAACAAUAGGAGUCUCUACUGGCUUACAUCCCAACAUACCAGUCUCUUUUAAUAAAUCCAUCACAUACUUACGUUGAGACAAGAAGAUACCUUUAGAUGAGCGAGCAACUUCAACUCCCAGAAAAUAUUUCAAAUCUCCUAAAUCCUUCAUUUCAAAUUCGGCUGCAAGGUUUCCUUGCAACUUGGACAUCUCAUCAACAUCAUCUCCUGUUAUAAUCAUGUCAUCUACAUAGAUAAUCAAGGCUGUUACUUUAUUUUGUUUACGUUUUACAAAUAACGUAUGAUCAGAAUGACUCUGACGAUAUCCAUUCCUUCUCAUCACUUGAGUAAAUCUAUCAAACCAUGCACGAGGCGAUUGCUUAAGCCCAUAAAGUGACUUACGCAAACGACAUACUCCAGUAUUCCCACCAUUGCUAUAUCCAGGAGGAAAAUCCAUAUAUACUUCUUCCUCCAAAUUCCCAUGGAGAAAUGCAUUCUUCACAUCAAACUGUUUUAAUGGCCAGUCCAUAUUUGCAGCUAAAGAGAUAAGAACACGUACCGUAUUCAUCUUGGCAACCAGGGAGAAAGUCUCUUGAUAAUCCACCCCAUAUGUUUGAGUAUACCCUUUAGCCACCAACCUUGCUUUGUAUCUGUCGACCGUUCCAUCAACCUUAUAUUUAACUGUAAAUACCCAUCGGCAUCCCACGGUCUUCUUUCCUACGGGUAGCAUCAUCACCUCCCAAGUAUUAUUUUUCUGUAAUGCCAACAUCUCCUCAUCCAUUGCUUUCGCCCAGUUUGGAUCUUUUAGAGCUUCCUCCACUCGAGUUGGUACUUGAAUAGACUCCAUAUUGCUCACCAAGGUCUGAUGUUCUGGUGCAAGCUUGUUACAUGAUACAUAAUUGGCUAUCGGAUACUUCACCUUCCCUUCAGGAGAAAACCUAUCAGAAGGCACACCUCGAUUUUGUCUCGGUGGCAAUUUAUAAGUACUUACAUUAUUACUUGGAUCAGCUACAUAAUCAUUUACAAUACUUACCUCAGGAAUAUUCAGAGAAGACGUAUUGGGCGUCACGUUGGAACCAGAGAGAGAGGGCGUACUGGACUCAGCAAGAACAAGUGUAGUGGCUUCGGCAAUGAACUGUUGAGCACUAGGACAUUCCUCGGCACUAGCUAGCCGAGCCUCUAGCCGAGGUUCUCUGAUGGGUUCGGUCAAAUCACCACCAUCAUCUGAGUUGUCAACACACUCGGUACUCUCUGUACAUUCGACACCAACAAUUCCCGGUCCUACACGAUGUUCAAUAAUCACAUCUCCCCCUAGAUCCAACCAACUCAGAUUACCAAUAUUAUUCCCCCCUGGUGAUCUGAUGUAGAAGGUACCGAAGUGUAGAAAUAUUCUGAUUCAGAGAAGGUCACAUCCAUGGUUACAUACAUAUGUCGGGUUUCAGGAUGGUAACACUGAUACCCCUUUUGGUGAGAAGAAAAACCCAGAAAGACACACCGUAAUGCACACGGAUCCAAUUUACUACGAUGUAUUUUCUGAAUAUGAACAUAAGCCACACAACCAAAGACUCGAGGGGUGAGAGUAUUACGGGACACCACGGGAGCAUGGUGUGUGAGGACUUGAAAAGGCGUUUGAAAACUAACCACCCGAGAAGGCAUACGAUUAAUAACAUACACGGCAUAGGUAACUGCUUCAGGCCAAAAACGUGGAGGAACAGAGGCCCCAAGGAGCAAGGCCCGGGCUGUUUCCAAAAUGUGGCGAUUCUUACGCUCUGCAACCCCAUUUUGUUGCGGAGUAUGCGGACACGUGGUUUCAUGGAGGAUCCCUUGAUCACGUAGAAAACCCGACAACUCAGAAUUGAUGUAUUCUCCUCCAUUAUCAGAACGGAGAACCUUGAUAACAGAAGAAUAUUGUGUCUGAACCAACUGAGCAAAUGACCGAAAUAUGUCACUAACAUCACUCUUAUUUUUCAACACAUAAAGCCAUGUCAUACGAGUGCAAUCAUCAACAAAUGUAACAAACCACCGGAUUCCCGAAGAAGUAUGAUAGCGAUUUUACCACUUGUAAAACAAAGGGUUAAACCAUAGAAAAUUCUUGCAAGAGAACAAGUGUUUGUAGUAUAGAAUGGCUCAAGCAAGGUCGAUCUCCUCAGGGACUGAUAUAAACAAUUUACGAGUUUUUGUGUAUUUAACUUAUUUUACUCUAAGAAUUACACUAAUUUAACGAAACUAAAUAUUAUUGGAUGUGACUUAAACAAAUAUCUAAAAUGGGAGGGAAUAAUGAUUCAACUUAAACAAAACAAGUAAAUAAGGAAAUUCAAGAUAAAAUAAAUGAUUUAAGAAAAAUAAAUUGACAAUAUGCUAGAGUUCAACCUUUACCAACAACAAUCCUACGUGGCUAUUCCAAUUGCUUAAAUAAUUGAAAACACAUAUGCUUUGAAGGUUGGAUUUUCCUUGUGUAUAUUUUACUUGUGACAUUCAAGCUAAAACGCAUACCACUACAUGCAACUUAUCCAUGACAUUUGGAUUAAAUAUAAACAUGAGUGAUUCAUUAAUCUUGGUGAAAAUCCUUUUGUUAAACCAUAUAAUCCCUAAGAGCAUGAUAUUUACCUUAGGAGAGUAUAAUUCUCAAUCACAAGAAGCACAACCAAUUUUAACGUGACAUUCGUUCAAAAUUGCAUCCGAUAACUUUUCUAAGCAUCCUAAUGGUGAUCAAUCAUCAAGACACAUAGAUAAUUUAAUUCAGUGAUUGAAAAUAUCAAAGCAAGCAUGUAACAACACUUAAGCAAUUGAAAAAUAAAACUACGUAUUCAUGUUGCGGCUCAUGGCCUCACUCUAGCAUAAUAAAUUAGUUACACAUAAUUAUGUUCAUACAUAAGAAAUUAUCCAUAAAACAAAUAACAAGAAAGAAAACACCCGUUUUUUGGUUCCUCCUGCGUCAGUCUCUUCUUCCCUGCCUCUGCUCACGUCAGUCUCUGCCUGUUCCCUUUGUUUCCGUGCUCUGCCUGCACUCCUGCUUUUUUCUGCACACUGCCCUCUAUCCGUCUCUCCUUGCGCCCUGGCCACUCCUGUUUUUUUCUGCACACUGCCCUCUAUCCGUCUCUCCUUGCGCCCUGGCCACUCCUGUUUUUUUCUGCACACUGCCCUCUAUCCGUCUCUCCUUGCGCCCUGGCCACUCCCCUCACUUCUUCCGUUUUUCUGCUUCUCUGCCUCUUGUUUUACUCCCUUUGCUGCUGUCCGUGUCAGUUCCCCCCUCUCUCUUUAUUUUUCUGUUUCUUUUUCGCUUUUCAUUUCCCUCAUGCUGCUUUUCCCUCUCUUAUUUUAAUUCUGCUCGCGCACUGCCUUUCUUUAUUCCUCUGUCAGUCAGUCCACUUUCAAUUCUUUUCUUUUAUUUUCUUUUCAGCCAGCGCACUCCACUCUCUCUUAUUCUUCUUUGUCUGCCGCCCCAUUUAUUUUCUGUUAUGCUCUCUCCUUUCCCGCUGUCCUGCACUCCUUCCUCAUCAGUUUCUUAGUGGAGCCUAAUUUCCACACCUAACAUUCCACUCAAAGGAAUCAUGCUUUAAUCUGAGGACAUGUUUUAGUGGACAACUUGGCCAGCCAUCUGUACAACAAAAUUCAAAUUAUCAGUGGGUUCUAAUUUAUACAGAUACCCUACACAAAUGGAGCUAUACUAAAAGCAAUUUCACAAUUUCAAUGAACAUAACACGUCACAACUUGGAUUAACUGCACACUAACACAAGGUAAGGUAAAAUGCAACCAUUUUAUCACAAAAACAUCACAAAGAUUUUAGAAAUGGAUGGUAUAAUUGCAUGAAAUAUAUGAGUGAUCAAAGUAGUAAUUGGAGAAGGCCCCCAAACAUCGGAAUGCACAAGAUCAAAUGGAAAAGGUCUUUUAUUCAUACUAGGAGGAAACGAAGCACGAUGGCUUUUAGCAAGAAUACAUACUUCACAAUGUAAGUCUGAUUCAUUUAUUCCACUAAAUAAACUAGGCACCAUAUGCCUUAAAUAUCUAAAGGAUGCAUGCCCUAAUCGACGAUGCAAUAACCAUACUUCUUGUAGAUUACUAUCAUGGAACACUUGUACUGCAUGAGCUCUGCCAGGAACGACAUCAUCCACAUAGUACAACCCCUUUCUCUUAGUGCCACGCCCAAUUAUCUCCUUGGUCUGAAUAUCCUGAAGUAGACAAAAGGACGGAUACAUUAGAACAACACAAUCCAAUUGUUCAGUAACCUGUGGUAUAGACAGUAAAUGAUGUGAUAAAGAUGGAACAAGUAAACAUCGGUGUAAAGGGAGAGAGGCCGUGAGAUACACGGUGCCAGCACCAAUAACAGGAGCACGGGUACCAUUGGCGGUGGCUAUAUAUUCCCUGUGAGAUGUUGUCAUACAUUGAAACAUAUUCUUAUCAUAUGUCAUAUGAUCCGUUGCACCAGAGUCCAGAAUCCAACCUGUAUGAUGCUUAGUAUCAGCGGCCAAAAGACCAUGCCCUACAGUACCUGCGGUGGAGGGCGAGUCACCAUGGGUAGAACGAGUCAGCAAGGAUUGACUCGGGUCAUCACCAGGAGUGUCGGCCUCAUUUGUUGAUGGUGGGGCUGUAGCUAGGGAGGCACGACCUCCAUUGUUCCCUGCACUUCCACGCUCCUUUGCACGCAAUUUCUUCUUCAAUUUUGGAAACCAAUCAGGCACCCCAUGCUUAGCAAAACACGUAUCCUCAGUAUGACAGGGUUUGUCCACAGAAAGUACACUUCAAAUCAUCUUUAUUUUCUCGGUUGAAGGGACGAGAAUUUAAAGAGUGAUUAGAAGAAUUAUUAGGACGAGGGACAUCAGCUGGCCGAGAAAUCAUGGCCAUGGACGGCGGCCCACCUUGGUUGUUACUUCCACCCAUCAUAGUAGCAUGUCGUUGUGCUUCACGCCGAACAACAGAAAACACUUCCUCAACAGAUGGUAAGGGUUGAGUACGUAGAAUAUCACUCCAUACCUUAUCAAAGAUAUCAUCCAAACCCGCCAAAAAAGCAUACACACGAUCAAUUUGAAUCUCUUCUCGAAGGGUCUUGAGAUCCACAACACACUCCAUCUUGAUUGGUCUCCUUUGAUCUAACUCCUGCCAAACGGACUUGAGGUCAGCAUAAUACACACCAACUGGCCGGCCCUCUUGACCGAGUCUGAAGGACUUAACCUUCAGUUCAUAAAUUUGAGAAAUAUCCGAACCAUCAUAAUAGGUCCGAGCCACCUCUUCCCAAACUUCUUUGGCAGUACGCAGGUGAAUAAAAAAUCUCAUGAUAGCAGGUUCCAUGGAAUUGAUUAACCACCCUUUUACUAUUGCAUUCCCUGUCUCCCAUGUCAUAUAUUCAGCACUAUCCUCAACAGGCUCCUUGGUACUCCCAGUCACAAAGCCCUUCCUACCGCGUCCAGCGAUGUGCAUCUCCAAAACCUUGGACCAAAGAGGAUAAUUUGAUCCAUUUAAUUUCACGGUGUUUGGUACAGCAGACGCAUCACUCUGAAUGACGACAGGAUUCAAUACUGGAUUAUUUGUUGAGUUACUGCCUUCCAACUUCAAUACGCCACUGCCUCCUUCUGAUGCCAUUCGGCUUUACCACACACACACGCCAGAAACAGCAAAAAAAAAAACUGUGACGAUGAGUCACCACACUGCUGCGCAAGCAGCAAUACCACACACACACGGUACUUUGCAGAGAUCAGUCAACCACACACACUGCUGCACACGCCAGCAAGAAUACACACACACACGGCAACACUGUUUUCUGCAGAAGAUUUGCAGAAAAACAGCCAACCAAGCAUAGCGGAAAAACUAGGGUUUCGGCAACACUGGCUCUUGAUACCAAAUAGAAUUUUUACGGGAUAAAUUCCUUGUAUUACUUCCUUGAAAUAUAUACAAAUACAAUCCUUGUUCUAUAAGGAAACUAAAAUUAAAAAGGACACAACAAAUAAUCCUUCCUAAAAAAGGAUUCCUAAUAUUUACAAUAUAUUUACAUACUUAUUUUUGAAGACUCACGUUUACAGACCCAUCCACAUUUAGCUUACACCAACCUACAUCAGGAUGAUCCCAAGAGAGAGAAAUUUGCCUCUUUACAGGUUUGACAGAAUACUUCACACAAGCCUUCAACCAUUCAUCCACAUCUCUCUCAAUGAUCGCUUUUGGAUACAUAGGCAUGACAAAAUUGACAUCAAAAAUCUGCUUGUUUCUCCACUUCCAAAUAUGCCAACAAAUAAAAAGGAAAAGAGUACACCAAGCACCCUCAUUAGUCCCUUUUGAACUUACUUUCAGAUUUGCCAGCAACCAAGCCUUAAACUCAAGAUUCUGGGCAUUCCUCAGUUGCCAUGGAACUCCCAUACUUUUCCAGAUACACAUAGCCCUGGAACAAUCUUUAAAAAUAUGAGCAAUGGAUUCAAUUGGUCCACAACAAGUCAUACAAGAAGAAUCAGAAGUUAAUUGUCUUCUAACUCGUUGCUCAUUAGAAAGCAAUCUCCCUUUACUCAUCAACCAAAGAAAAACUUUUAGCUUCGGUGGAACAUUAACUCUCCAAAUAAAAUCCCAGCAUGAAUCAGGCAAAUCCUCUUCAUCAAAGAAAAGAUUAUAAGCUAACUUAACGGUGAAAACUCCAUUAGAAGCACAUCUCCAAAUAAUUUUAUCCAUACCUGCACCAGUAGUACCAGCAGGCCGACAUAUAAUUUUUUGAACCAUAUCCUCUGGCAACACAUCUCUGAGCUUAUCAAUAUCCCACCAACCAUUUCUUAAAAAUUCAGAGACAACACAAUCAAUAUUGGAGAUAUUAGCAACAUCAAUAGUUUCCAUUAAAGGGACAUUUAAGACCCAUGAAUCCUUCCAAAAUUUCACACUCUCACCAUUGCCAAUUCUCCAAGUCAUGCCCUUUUUAAGAAGAUUAACUCCAUACAAAAUUCCUUUCCAAGAAUAAGAACACUCAGUUCUUUCAUGAAUUUUGGGGUCUAAAAUAGAAUAGCCUUUCAAAUACUUAGCCUGAUAAAUUUGAGACCAAAGACCAGAGUCCUUAGCAUAAAUCCUCCACCCUAACUUAGCUAAAAGAGCCUGAUUCAUUACACAAGCUCUCUUAAUCCCCAAACCACCCUUACUUUUAGGUUUGCAAACCAUACUCCAUUGGCACAAAUGGACUUUUUUCUUUUGAUCGGUCAACACUUCACUUGCAUCAUACCUUCAAACUUCAAAACUCUAAGCAAUGUGAAGUGCGUGAACAGUGACCGUACUAGGUUUUUCUCCCAGUAUGACUCAUAUAACAAAGACCUCAGAUGUCCAUCACUUGCAGGAGCAUAUUUAUCGAUAUUUCCGUCUCAGUCCAAAUAGAUGGCAAGUCUUCGAACUCUACCAAUUGACACUUCUUUAGUUACCAUGGCUGCAGAUAGAAUCAUAAUAUGAAUAAAGUCCCCUCUUUCCCGUGGUCAUUUUCUCUCUUUUUUUACAUCGUCACUUUGCUCUGGUACGGUCCUCUUUGACAUGUUCCUCUUUGCUUUGCUUUGACAGGCGCGUGCUUAUUUUUCCUAAGGGAAACAAUGUGGAUUAUUUUGCUAUAUAGGGUAAAUUACACAAAAUUAACUCAACUAUAGGUCGAAAAGGUACUUCCUUGGAUAUAUAUUCUUCUAAUCUUCCACUGCUUCUUAAAUUUCCUAUUGGAGCAUUUAGCUUGGGAUUAUCAAUCACAUUAUCUAUCAGGAUGUUGCAAAUAAUGAUAUCUUAUGUUGAUGGAAAAAGAUUGAAUCUCAAGAGUGGAAUAGCUGUGAAGAUCAGCACUUAUAUAUGUAACAUAUAGUCCAGUUACGAACUACUGCUCAGUUGUCAAAGCACUACAAUUUUGAGAGUACAUAUGUAAAGCAGGAGCAGUUAUAUUUGGUAUAACUCUUUGCAUGUAAAUAAUACCGGUGUAAAUGAUAAAACUUUCAACAACUACUAUAUAUUUUUGUGUAAAUACUUUGCACAUGUUUUUAUGUAAGUAACUUUUACAUAUCUACCGACAAUAUUUAUAAUUUAUUUUUACACCCUGCAGCAAUGCACAUGCUAAACUUCUAGUUUUUAGCUAUUAUCAAUGAAGAUAAUAUAAUAUAUUUGUUAAGAAUUGAUUUUUUUUUACUAAUAAAAUAUCUCUCAUUACUUGAGCAAGCAUAUUGGAAAGAAAAUUCACGCAUUUUCAACAUAUUUUGUUUGCUACAUCCAAGCAAGUCUUCAAUUAUAACACCUAGAUUAAGAGUAAAACACAUCAAACUCUACACGAUUACAAAGUAAAACUUCUAAAAAUUAGGUAAUCGUUAUGUUGAAUAUUAGAUGAUUUAAAGCUCCAAGAUAUUCUAAAACUAAACUUUCGAACACUGUAGAGAUGAGACUAGCGUGGAACUCCUUCGUGGAUGUAGGAUAUGUAUGAUCAAUGAACGGAUAUGUAUGAUCAAUUGAUAAAUAAAUAAAUAAAAACAGAGAUGGAAAGUUUUUGAGAGCACUGUAUUUUCGUUUCCAUACAUCGAUAUCUUCUCAAACAGUUCCAAGCCUUGAUCAUCAUUCAAUGACAGUGGCUGGUAGAGGAAACCAUUAUUGUCCGCAUAUCUAGCUACUUCAGGAUAGCUAGCCAUUUUCAGAUGCUAAGUUAUGUGAAGUUCGCAUUACCAACGAACCUUUAUCCGAGACCUAUGCUUAAGUUGUCAGAAGUUUAAGCUAGCUCACUGUGUGCAUAUUGAAAUAGUAGUCCUAAAUAUUAAAAUCGCUACUCGCUCGGGAUUUUUUAACAAACUUUUUGUUUGCAUUUUUGUUUGGCCAUCAGCUCUGUAACUUUUCUGUUAUAGAUCACAAGUUGACUGCUAGGUCCACAUUGUUGUUCACUUUAUUCAUUGUUUUCAAUCCAUGAUUUUCUCAUCAAGUUUUAUUACAUAAAAAGGUUCCCCAGGUGGGUAUCUACCAAACUUUUAUAUAAACGUUUCAAUACAUUUUCAAAACUUCAAUGUUAGGGAGUCUUUUGACCAAAGAUUGCUGAAACUGAGUGGAUCAUUGAUAUUUAAGUGUUCGGAUUAGGUGUUUUAAAAAGCAUUUGUAAUUGAUCGAAGAAAAGAACAAACCUUUGCAUACAACACCCGAGCCCCAAGAAAACCAUUAAAAUAUCUUAUUUGAUCUAGUAUUCUACAAUUAUAUGAUUGGGACUCCGUUAUGCUAAAAAACAAAUAAAAAAUCCUUCAGGUGUAUUUUUAUUUAGAAUUCUUUUGAAAAUGGUUUAUCUCGCUAUGAUUUCAACGUUCUGUAGCUAUCUUUAGCAUAAAAAAAUUUCCAAAAUACGGCUAAUGUGCAACAAUAGUGUGUGAAACAGUAUUAAAAAAAAAUCUUAAGUUGUUAGUUUUCUCUUGUGCUAUUAAUUCUUCAUUGAUGGUUAAUUCUCAUAAGAAUUCAUACAGCUGACCCCAUUUAAUGAGAUAAAGUUUUUUUGUUUUUGUAUUGAUCAUUUGUUUGCUACUCAUACACUAAUAUUUUUUUCCCAUGUUUUCUAUACAGUUUUCUGCUACACAUUGUUCCCACUUGUUCAUGAAGCCCAGGAGUAUCCAAUAAAGGUUUUAUUGCUGUUACUGUGUUCCCACUUGUUCAUGAAGCUCAGGAGUGUUCAAUAAGGGUACGUUUGUUGCGCAGGACUAUCUCAGACUAGACUAGCUUCAGGGACUAAGUUAGAUUGGCUUAGACUAGAUUAAGCUGGACUAGCUUAGUGAAAUGUUUGGUGCAGUGUCAGACUAUGAAAUAGGAUAAUGAAAACAGUACUAUCACAAGUUUGGUGUUUACUCAUACUAGGACUACAUUAUUGUUCUAUUUUAAUUGCUUUUUUGUAUUAAAGAUAUUAUUAAAAUUAAUAAUAUUGGAUGAAAGUGAGACUCAAUAAAAAUACAAGCUCAAAAUUCAAAUUAACAUAGAAAUUGGAAUUGAAGAUUCCUUUUUUUUUUCUUUUUUUCUUUGUUUUUUUUUUUGUUUGGAAUUCAGGAAUUCAUAAGAUGCAUGUGAUACUAAAUACAAUCAAAAACAUCAAGGUCAGCAAGUUCAACCAAUUGUUUAAUCCAAAAUCUCUAAACACAAAAUACUCAAUUAAUUGAGCACACACCAUGAACAACAACAUAAAACACAUGAAUUAUUUCCACUUGAAAGAUUCUUGCACUAUAUCAAAAACCCAAAAAUCAAAAGCUUCAAAUAAGAAAAGAUUUUACAUUCACUUCCUCAAUCUCUAAAAUUGAUGAAAACACCUAAACCCACUAGACUACCACAGCCAAAACUGAUAAUCGCAAAAAAUAAAAUAAAAUUAAAUUAAAAUAUAAAAAAACAAUGCACAAAACUCUCAUUUUUCCUCUACUACUUCAAGAAUCCGCAAACAAAAAGAACAACAACAAUUCAAUUUCUCCUUCUUCAAAGUUUACAACUUUGAAUUUGUUUCAAAUCAGAAAAAAGAAAACAAGGAAGAGGUGGAAGAGAUAACCUUAAGUCGCUGCUUGUAGGAGGAAGAGAGAGGCUGGAUUGGAGACAGCGAGAAGCUUGUCGUUGCCGUCGGUCAAUCCUUCUGAAACCCCUUCAUCGCCCCUAUAGAACUACGAGAUCGUUUUGUUGAGGACGUCGUCAAUCUGCUACAUCGGCUGUUGAUGUAUGAAGGACGAGAUCGAUUUGUCUGAUAGCCAAAAGGAUGAGAUUGAUGAAAGCCUGCGGAGGAUUGGAGGUGCGAAGCGAAGCGAUCUUAGCAAUCUCGUUGUUUUUUAAGGGACUCGCUAAGAACCUCUAGUGAGGGCAUUAGUCGAGGCGAGUGCCUUCUAAUCCAACUAAAGUUAAUCCUUCCAUCAAACAAACACGGGACUACAUUCAUUGCUAGUCCAAUGAAGAUUAGUGAAGGCAAACAAACACACCCCUAAAUGUUUUAUUGCUGUUACUGCACUCCAACCUUAUGUGGUUAGGUUUAUUUGCACAAUUCGCUAAUGGUGUUUGUUUUUCUGGAAAGAAAAGAUGAUGAUUUUCGAUCGAAGAGACGUCUGUUGCAGCUGCCCUAAAAGGAGGGUUUGCAAAUAGGGCCCAACCCUCAUAAUUUGGAGCCCCUAGGUGAUGUUUUGAAGUGGAGCCCUAAAGUUCUCUAACCUUCGAUCUUUUAUAUGUUGAUAUGUAUAAAAAAAAUUCCUCUAAAUAGAUAAAAAAAAGUCUAUUUCUACAACAAAUAUCAUUAAAAAUUAAUAUCAAAAAAAGAAAGAAAUACAAACAUUACUUAAAUAUUACAAUUCUCACAUUUUUAAUGCAAAUGUACUAAUUAAGUUUCCAUAAUCUAAUUUUUCGAUCAAUUAUUUUUCAAUUGCCUAUGAUUUUUUUUUUUUUAAUUUUUACCAAAUUUGGGGGCCCUCCGAAGUAGGGUCUAAGCAGAUGCUUACUUCGGCUACAUUCAGGGCCCACCUUGUUUGCUAAUUUCUGCAUCCCAUCAUAUUUGGUGAUAAGCUUUCUUGUAUACCCCUCAUGCUGAUCUCAACAUAUUGUGGAUUAGAGAUUACGUAGUCCUUCAUUUGCCAAUUAAAAUGGAUCUUUCAUUCAUGAUUGUUCAGGUUUUGACGUUAUCUGAUUUAUAAUUAAGAGUUUUCGUACAAUUCUACGACUUCGUAUCGAUGGCAUAACCAUAAUAUAGCAUAAUCAACUUUUUAAUCCGACAAAAAACACCAUACUCUUAAUUGUAUAGUCAAUAGAGUCCGGCAACAAACCAGUCAAUCCGAUUAAAAUAAUUAGUAUAGUUUCACAUACUUUCACGUAUAUUUCUAAUUAUCAAAAGCAUUAAUAACCAUCUAUUUGCUAAUAAACUUUAGUUUUAGUUUUAAUUUUUUUUGUAGAGACAUCAUUAAAGAGUAUUUAUGAUGUGAACAAUUUUGAUUGUGAACACAAUAUUAUAUGAAGGGAAAUUUUAUUUGAACUCAUAUAACCUCUUUCUACUAAUUAAACUAUUGAUAUCUCUUUAAACCCAAAUUUACUACCUAAAUCACCCUCACAACCCAAUUCCAUAUGUAAAUUUAUCUUUACACCCAUUCAAAACAUUAAAAGCCACGUAAAAUUCAAUACACUUAAAAACUUACCAGGUUGACAAUAUGUAAUUGCCGCCAAAGAUACAUUUGUGACACACCCCGACCGAGAUCAAGGUAUGUUGGCCGUCACGUGAGAGCGACGUAGCCAUGUGCACAGUGCGGAAGCAAUAAUGAUAAGAAAUAUAUGAAUAAUUAAAAACCGAAAUACUAGAGUGCACUACUAAACAAGAAGUGUUAGGAGUAAGAUCCAGAAGUAACACUCCUAAUCAGAGCAUAAAAGUCUAGGUGUAGUCCAGUAGGAUAAAUACUAAUUAUACAAUACCAGGAAUGUCCUACUAUUAUUUAAAUAGGUCAAAAUUGCCGACGUCCUCAAGUCACCAAUAACAAACUUACUUAAAACCUGGAGGGGCGCAAAAUAGAAAACGUGAGUGGGCAAAAACAAAUGUUUUACAAAACCAUUUCAUUUAUCAACAUAUUUAACCCCUCUAUGUAAAAAAUGUAUAAUUUUUCCCAUAAUCAAGAUAUAAGCAUAUACAUAAAUAUAUAUAUGAAAUCAUAUCAAUUCAAUUCAUGCUUCACAUAAUCAUAUUCAUAUGUAUGCCAUGCAAAGAUAUAACAGAGUAAGCAAUUCAGGUAAGAAUAAUUUUAUAGAAAUAUAACAUGCUAUCUGAACCCCUGUGGUAGUCUGUACAGCUAAAUUCAUAGCUCAAAAGUCACUCUAGCCGGAGUCACUACAAUGACUUAUACGGCAACAUACUGCACAAGAGUCGGAACCAAACAAAAAGGUCUAUACGAUAAUAAUGGGUGUAAUACAAUCAUGCUCAAUACUACUCUCACAUAAUAGUUGGGCGAUAAAUCGCUAGUCACCUACGAGUCGGAACCAUAAAUAAAGUCUGUACGACAAGAAUGUGCACCUAAAUUGGAUCCAAUAUGAGCAUAUGGUGCGAGAGGUGACAUAAUAAACAGGUCUGUGCCAUAUCUAUGGCUAAAUCACAAUCACCCUAAGUGCAGUUUUAUGAGCUCAACAUUAUUCAAUUACAUAUCGCAUCAUUGACAAUUCACAUAACCGAACAUAACCUACCUGAGCUUACCUGAGCGUCCACAGCACCACAAUUAUAUAUAUAACGCAUCACAUACCAAUUCAUACUUGAAUUAUAAACUUAUAUGCAUGGCAUUUAUGGCAUACUAUCAUUUAAACACAUAUUUCAGGGAAAAUAUCAAGUAUAUACUAUAUACUGAAAACCAAAAGCCCACUCACUGGUAAGUCGAAGGAUCGUAGCGAGUUGCCCUUGGAUACGCUAGUCCUCGGGAUAAGUCUCACCUAUAUGCGAAUUAACUAUAAAAAUGUUAUUUUAAAGCACUUAGACAAAACUAUCUAAUAACUUCUCAUACAUAGAUCAAAUUGGGUAUAUGAAUAACCACAGUGACCUACACAACCUCAGGAUCAUCCCUAAAUUUUCAGAUUAAUUUUUAGACCCUUCACACACCGCAACGAGCCGGCGAGUGCACGGCGAGUCGCGCAAGAAAUCUUGACGGAUUCCCUAACUGCCGUUAGGAAUAUUUCCCAAAAUAUUCCAUUAAAACCCAACGGUAACUGUUAAUCCUAACUGACGACGUUAACAUAUUCCGUCAAAACUGACGGAAUAUUCCCCUUUCUUCUCCAGUGAGUCGCCGGUUUCUGGGUAAAACUUUAAAACCACUAUUCUCCUUUGUUUCUUCACCAUUUUUCAUGAAAUUUGAACCAUUGGAAAGCUAACAACAUGUAGAAUCACGUUAUACAAGUUUCAAGGCUUAAAUUUCACUAGGUUUUCCCCGAGAAAGCUCGAUAAUUCGGCUUACCUAGAAACACGUCGAUCUCAGUCCUCUGACGUCCAAAUCCUUCCAACGAAGUACCCCGAGACUCGUGAGGACCUCCUUAAGCUUCCUAUGACCUUAGAAUUCCCUGAAACACAAGGUUUUAUGUGUGCAUGAACAGUGCACAAAAUCGGGGUUAGGGUUUCUCGGGUUUUCGAAGCAUUCACGUCCAAAUAAGGGUACCAAUAGACUCAAGAGGUUACAAUGAGCAAGAACCUUACCUUAAAAGCUUCGAUCCGUGCCUGAAAUGGGGAGUUCGAAGCUUGUCCGUACGAAGAAGGGAAAGAGAGAGAGAGUCUGAGAGAGAUGAGAGGGUACGAGAGAUAAGAGAGGGAGUGAGUGUGGUGUGUGUGUGGUCCACGCGGGUCACCAAUCCAAACCACAAAUAACCUCUAAGUCUCAAUAUGAUACACACAUACACUACAGUCUCAACGUCUAAGGAUAAAACCGUCCUUUCACGUCCUCUAGAAUAAAAUAAUGCACAUCUCCGAGACGGGCUGUGACAUUUGCCCAAUAGAUUAAAAGACUACCUUUGAGUUCCUAUUUCUUUUGAUUUCUUGGUUCAUAGCACAAAACAUUGGCGACAACUUGUUUCCCCUCGUUGACAAUGUUGUUGCUACUAGUCCAAUAUUUUUGUAUACAUACCUAUCUUAAAAAUAGGUUCAGUACCAGCACAAGCCUACUUUAGCACAAACCAGGCUGCUCUUCUUGCUCUCAAAUCCCCACCUAGGCAGCCUGUCAUUUCUUGUUGAGCUGGAAUUCAAAAAACAACAGUUUUGGUGGUAGUUUACCAAACAAUAUAUGCCAACAUCUUCCAAGCAUUUAGGGGUUGCAUUUGCCGUGCAACCAGUUUGAUGGAGGGUGAAUGUAGGGUAAACAUUGUGAAGUGUUUGAUUAUUGGGUGUGUGUUUAUUAAUAAAUUUUAGUUUAUACUUAACUUUACCUUAUAUUUAAUGAUAAUUAUGUUAUAGAGUAAAAAAGACAAUUCACAAUUAGGAGUCCUCACGAGCUCCGAAUGAAUCAACCACUAAGUAAAUUGAGGAGAAAUGAGGAGUCAAACAUUGUUAGUACCAAAAUAUGUUUAAUGGGCCCAAACUGACUAAAGCCCACAACGGCCUCAAAAAUUCCUAUAUCCAUUUCCUCCUCUAUUUCCACGUGCCGAAACGGCAGAAGCCAUUUCCGAAACCCAAACCAAAACCUCUACCCGAACUCCACCCUCUCUCUCUCUCUCUCUCUCCGACCCUGCGAGACCCGAGCGACCCUUCACUCCGCCACCAUGCUUCGCCGAGCCACCACCCUCUUGACCCGAUCCACGAUCCCCCUCAGGGCCCGACCCUUCUCUACCGACGUCGCUGAGACUGCCCCAGCCGAUUCGACUUUCAGUGAUGCCUGGAAGAAAGUGGUGCCUCACAUAGAUCCCCCAAGGACCCCAUUGAC